Molecule: ribosomal RNA, 509 nt
Filed under: Nepinnotheres affinis
Lineage: Eukaryota; Metazoa; Arthropoda; Malacostraca; Decapoda; Pinnotheridae
Description: partial small subunit ribosomal RNA
Source: RNAcentral
UGUGAUUUUUGUAUAUAUAUAUAUAUUAAAAAGUAAAAUUAAUUUGAUUUUUUAUAUAGAUAGUAAAAAUUGAAGUUGAAGCUAAUAAUUCUUGGGGUUAAACUAGGAUUAGAUACCCUAUUAUUCCAUGAUAAAAUUUGUAUCCUUGGUUAGUAGUAGUUAUUUACUUAAAAUCUAAAAAAUUUGGGGGUAAUUUAAUCUUUUCAGAGGAACCUGUUUUUUAAUCGAUAAGCCACGAAGUAUCUUGCUUAUUUUAGUAAAGUUUGUAUACCAUCAUUAUCAGGUAAUUUUUAAAGAAAAUUAUUUACUAGGAAAAAAUAAUUUAGAUAAAUUAGAUCAUGGGGCAGCUUAUAAAUAAGUUAGAAUGGGUUACAAUAAAUUAUUAUUAUACGGAUAAAUAAAAUAAUGUUUUUUUAGAAGGAGGAUUUGAUUGUAUUUUAAAUUUAAUAUGUUUAAAAGAUAAUAGCUCUAAAUUAUGUACAUAUCGCCCGUCGCUUUCAUUUAUAGAU